AUGCACGCUGGCGGCGUGCUUAACACAUGCAAGUCGAACGAUGAAGCCCAGCUUGCUGGGUGGAUUAGUGGCGAACGGGUGAGUAACACGUGAGUAACCUGCCCUUGACUCUAGGAUAAGCCCGGGAAACUGGGUCUAAUACUGGAUAGGAACGUCUACCGCAUGGUGGGUGUUGGAAAGAAUUUCGGUCAUGGAUGGACUCGCGGCCUAUCAGCUUGUUGGUGAGGUAAUGGCUCACCAAGGCGACGACGGGUAGCCGGCCUGAGAGGGUGACCGGCCACACUGGGACUGAGACACGGCCCAGACUCCUACGGGAGGCAGCAGUGGGGAAUAUUGCACAAUGGGCGAAAGCCUGAUGCAGCGACGCCGCGUGAGGGAUGACGGCCUUCGGGUUGUAAACCUCUUUCAGUAGGGAAGAAGCGAAAGUGACGGUACCUGCAGAAGAAGCACCGGCUAACUACGUG
Molecule: ribosomal RNA, 464 nt
Filed under: uncultured bacterium
Lineage: Bacteria
Description: partial 16S ribosomal RNA
Rfam family: Bacterial small subunit ribosomal RNA
Source: RNAcentral